CGGGGGGGCGGGUGACAUGUUGGCUGUUCUGUGGUGUGUGGUGAUGCCCGGCGGCGCAGCUCUGGCCCCGGUGGGGAGAGCGGGCUGGGCCGUAGCCUCGUCCCUGGUCCAGCACUGGGGCUGCUGAGCCCCGCAGAGGCCCCCUGAGAGGAGCCCUGCACCCUGAGGCGCCUCAGCUCUUGGGAGCUGCCUUGCCCAGCGCAGCCUGGCCCUCAGGCCGUGUGUGCCAGCCCUGCUCGGCUUUUGUUCCUCAUGGGGCCCCUUUCUCUUCAAAUUCAUGACACUAAUCUCGUGAGUCUUUGCCCCAAACUCAGCAUGAGGUGUUGUGUCGCUGGAGCGUGAGGCUGCACUGCCUGUGGCUGCCUUGCAGGGGAGGAUGUGGCUGGGUGCCUCCCCACAGGGCCAAAACCACCCUGUCCUUCCCCAGGACGCAGGCCGGAGCAGGCAGAGCCAUUAUUAGUAUUAUAUUACAAUAUAAUGGCAAUGCUGAGAGGUUCCUGUCUCCACCGUUAGCCCCACGCCGCGAGCUUCCUUCGGAGCGCCAGCGUUAGGUUUCUCGUCCCUGAAGAAAAAGUCAUGCACAGAAGAGCACUUACGUACUACUCGGACUGCAGAAGACUCCCCAUACUGCAAUUCUGUAAUACUUACACUUUCACAGCAUACCCUGUCCAGAAGUCACUAGAAGACAAUGACUUUGAGCUUCAGAAUGUCUCUUGGGAGAGGUUUUGCAUUGGAGGAAAGGUUAAAAAACACAGAGGCAUGAAGCAAUUUACUUAAGACCAUGUGGGAAAUGGAAGCAGAAACAGUCAUGCACUUAAACCACAGCAUCAUCUUUCUACAGCAGCUUCCCUACUUAAGAGAGGAAAAUAAACAGAAAGCAGCUGGAAGAAACAGCCAUUGCUCCUUCUGUAUUAGUCUUGGUUAGACUAGGUGGCCUGAUGAGAUGGUGAUAUGCCUCCAGCUGGCCCCAAAAUGGCUGGCACACAGAAACUGUUUUACCAUUUCUUCAGGAUACGUUCCAGCAUGUUUUUUGAGGACAUGUACAGGUUGCUUCUGCUUUUAGUCUCUAAGAUGUCCAAGUCAAUCAGUGUACAACUAAUUAUUGUUGUGUCUAUAGCUAUACUUAGGGAUGUAAUCCUGCCUCAGAGGUGAGUAAAUCCGUAUGUGUCAUCAGGACAGCUUCUUAAUGCGAGAGAGAUUCUCAGUGCAAAUACUGCAUCUGGUGGAAAGGUGAAACCAGACAGGAUGAUAGUGCUUUCAGCUCACGUGGUUUCUUCAGAGGUGUUUCUGUGCAGGAAGCCUGUAGUCUCCUGUCUCCAGCGUAUCUGAGGAGUCACUUUUUGAGGUUAUUUUUGGCUAAAAUCAUUUACAGUUCUUGCCUUUCCUUCAACAUGAGAACAGUGACGUUCUUUCCCCUAGUUGAGACAUAGAUGAAACAUCUAGUCUUGCAAAGACAGAAUGCAGGAAAAAAAACUCUUAGUAAUGAGUAUUAACACAUUUGCUUAUGACUGAACAUGCAGUUCAUAAUCAUCCUCAGAUUUAAACUCUUCCACCUCUCUGAAUUUGCAGCUUGGAAUCCCCAUGGAGCUGAAUCAGCUUUCCUCUUCCUAAAGAGGAUAUAUUUAAGUCUAAUCAACCUUACCGAUUAAUGUUGGUAGUUUUUUACAAAUCUGAACUAUAGAUGAACUGCACCAGUGCAAAACUAGGGUUAUACUUGCUGGAAAAUCUCUGAAUCAAUGUAAAAAUCCAUGCAAAAAUCUCAGAAUAAACAAAUUUAUAAUUCCA
This is a long non-coding RNA of Dromaius novaehollandiae (emu), 1785 nucleotides long. RefSeq lists it as uncharacterized. The record is from RefSeq and is a predicted model, not a curated record. NCBI's taxonomy places the organism in Eukaryota, Metazoa, Chordata, Aves, Casuariiformes, Dromaiidae. The transcript is spliced from 2 exons.